CCUACGGGGGGCUGCAGUGGGGAAUAUUGCACAAUGGGCGCAAGCCUGAUGCAGCCAUGCCGCGUGUGUGAAGAAGGCCUUCGGGUUGUAAAGCACUUUCAGCGGGGAGGAAGGCGUUAAGGUUAAUAACCUUGUCGAUUGACGUUACCCGCAGAAGAAGCACCGGCUAACUCCGUGCCAGCAGCCGCGGUAAUACGGAGGGUGCAAGCGUUAAUCGGGAUUACUGGGCGUAAAGCGCACGCAGGCGGUCUGUCAAGUCGGAUGUGAAAUCCCCGGGCUCAACCUGGGAACUGCAUUCGAAACUGGCAGGCUAGAGGCUUGUAGAGGGGGGUAGAAUUCCAGGUGUAGCGGUGAAAUGCGUAGAGAUCUGGAGGAAUACCGGUGGCGAAGGCGGCCCCCUGGACAAAGACUGACGCUCAGGUGCGAAAGCGUGGGGAGCAAACAGGAUUAGAUACCCGAGUAGUC
This 465-nucleotide ribosomal RNA is filed under the name uncultured Klebsiella sp. RNAcentral's name for it is "bacterial SSU rRNA". It matches the Rfam family "Bacterial small subunit ribosomal RNA", at positions 338 to 795 of the family's 1533-position model. The record is from RNAcentral. Lineage: Bacteria; Pseudomonadati; Pseudomonadota; Gammaproteobacteria; Enterobacterales; Enterobacteriaceae.